Molecule: ribosomal RNA, 130 nt
Filed under: uncultured Synurophyceae
Lineage: Eukaryota; Synurophyceae
Description: partial 18S ribosomal RNA
Source: RNAcentral
GGAAACCUUGUUACGACUUCACCUUCCUCUAGAUGAUGAGGUUUAAAUAACUUCCCGCGACCGAGUCGCCCGAGAGCGUCUUGAUCACAGUCCGAAAGUUUCACCGAAUCAUCCAAUCGGUAGGUGCGAC